Long non-coding RNA from Mya arenaria, 1074 nucleotides. RefSeq lists it as uncharacterized. The transcript has 4 exons. Lineage: Eukaryota; Metazoa; Mollusca; Bivalvia; Myida; Myidae. The record is from RefSeq and is a predicted model, not a curated record.
CAACGUAACGUCGUUUUUUACACUUCCCUAUUCUGCACAAUGCUAAUACCACUCCUCACUCCAAUGGAUAUUACUCCUGCAAACAUUUAUACUUACUGCCGAAAAUGGUACCAAAAUAAUCAUGAAUAAAUUAUCUAUCAACUGUAGUACGGGUUUUAUCUAAUUAUGUGAAACAAAAUAAAACGAGCAAAAAGUUUCACAAGCAUUUUUUGUAAUAUGUCGUUUUUCUGCCGGUCUUGGGACGUUUUGACUGUCAUUUUAUACUUUCGAUUUCGGAUAUUUUAAGAAUUGUUUUGAUUGUCAAUGACUUUACAAGGAUACAUUGACGUCUCCUGCAUCGUGAGAAAUAAAGCCAUAGAAUACAUUCAUAACACUCAAAUUCAGCCAGUCAGGAUGAUGGGAAGGAUUGCAGAACUGAGUUUCACUCUCACCUGACUGAUGCAGAUUCAGUAACCUAAUUGCUCAUGAUGGUUUCUGAGAAAAAAAAACAGCUUGGUGUAAUUUGACAGUAUUUUUCAGUAUUUGACAGUGGUUCUAUCAUGCAACAGUCAUACCAUGAAGUGUCUCACAGAUUCUCUCUCAAUUCCUGCAAUAUCCAAGAUUACAGUGUAGUGCAAAGAGGAUUAAUUUUCUUGCAAUAAGAAGUAUCUGCACUUCCAAAUACCCCUGUACAGCAUGAACAGUUCCUUUAUUUUUUGAGUGAUUAUAGAGUGAAAAUGUUUCCAUAUAAAAUGUUUUCUUUUUAUGUGUAAAACUUGUCAUGAAUGGUUACAAAUAAAUGCAUGGACAUUAUGAUUCCAAAUCUAUGCACAUUUUGAUUACCAUGGCAACUAAUGUUUUGUUUGCCUUUAAUCUUCCUAUUUAUAAUACUAUUAAUUGUAAAAAUGCAACAGUCAAGCAGUGAAUGGAAGAAUGUUAAUGUUCUUUGUCUUUUACCUUUUUCAAGCUCAUUCUUCAAAAUAUAAAGCAAUUUUAAAAUUUCUUAAAAAUGGACGUUUUUUCUUCAUUUUUUUAAAGUAAAAUAAUUUGCUUAAAACUUUGUUUAGGUUCUGAUAUUUAGGAAUGUGUAUUAAA